AACCUUUACACUGCACGACAGUGCGAUAAGGGAAUCCCAAGUGCGUAGGCAUAGAGCCUACGCUUUUGUCCACCGUAGGGAGGUGGACGAAUAAGGGCUGGGCAAGACCGGUGCCAGCCGCCGCGGUAAUACCGGCAGCCCGAGUGAUGGCCGAUCUUAUUGGGCCUAAAGCGUCCGUAGCUGGCCGCACAAGUCCGUUGGGAAAUCUGCUCGCUUAACGAGCAGGCGUCCAGCGGAAACUGUUCGGCUUGGGACCGGAAGACCUGAGGGGUACGUCCGGGGUAGGAGUGAAAUCCCGUAAUCCUGGACGGACCGCCGAUGGCGAAAGCACGUCGCGAGAACGGAUCCGACAGUGAGGGACGAAAGCUAGGGUCUCGAACCGGAUUAGAUACCCGGGUAGUCCUAGCCGUAAACAAUGCCUGCUAGGUGUGGCUCCCACUACGAGUGGGUGCUGUGCCGUAGGGAAGCCGCUAAGCAGGCCGCCUGGGAAGUACGUCCGCAAGGAUGAAACUUAA
This 515-nucleotide ribosomal RNA is filed under the name uncultured archaeon. RNAcentral describes it as "bacterial SSU rRNA". It matches the Rfam family "Archaeal small subunit ribosomal RNA", at positions 345 to 859 of the family's 1478-position model. The record is from RNAcentral.